This 244-nucleotide ribosomal RNA is filed under the name uncultured bacterium. Its description in RNAcentral is "partial 16S ribosomal RNA". It matches the Rfam family "Bacterial small subunit ribosomal RNA", at positions 524 to 764 of the family's 1533-position model. The record is from RNAcentral.
UACAGGGGGUGCAAACGUUGCUCGGAAUCAUUGGGCGUAAAGCGCACGUAGGCGGUUCGUUAUGUCGGAUGUGAAAGCCCUUGGCUUAACCGAGGAAGUGCAUCCGAAACUGGCGAGCUAGAGUACGAAAGAGGAUCGCGGAAUUCCCGGUGUAGAGGUGAAAUUCGUAGAUAUCGGGAGGAACACCGAUGGCGGAGGAGGCGCUCUGGGGCAGAUACGUGACGCUGAGGCGACGAACGGGUGG